This 135-nucleotide ribosomal RNA is filed under the name uncultured bacterium. Its description in RNAcentral is "partial 16S ribosomal RNA". It matches the Rfam family "Bacterial small subunit ribosomal RNA", at positions 340 to 492 of the family's 1533-position model. The record is from RNAcentral.
UACGGGAGGCAGCAGUGGGGAAUCUUGCACAAUGGAGGAAACUCUGAUGCAGCGAUGCCGCGUGAGUGAAGAAGGCCCUUGGGUUGUAAAGCUCUUUCGUCGGGGAAGAAAAUGACUGUACCCGAAUAAGAAGGU